ACCCUGUUUGAAAAGAAUGAAAGCCAUGCAGAAAGUCUGUUUGUUUAAUAAUACAAUAAGGAAGCUUUCAAAAAAUGGGAAUAGAGUUUUAUAGUACAUAUGAGAAAAUGGUGAAAAAGCAAAGUUUAACGUACGGAAGUUGGAUGAUGGAACAAUAUCCCUAAAAGGGAUUUGCCCUUCACUGAGCGUCACUUCGGCGGAUCGAUCCAUCUAUGCGACGUCGCUCCUCUUAUUUUUUGAACAGCGACCUGCCCGGGACUGGUGACACGGUUUGGCACUUCGCCUUCUGACAACCAACUCACGGCAACGGUGGCCUAUAAUCGAGUUUGAAAACAAGGAAUAAGCCAUUAAAAAAGUAAAAGAAACUGGGGAGGGGGACAAAGAGGAUUGGUUGGAAAACCAAAAAGUUUUGUGAUGGGAAAAAGAAAGAUGGCACGUAGUGCUGUAGUCUCUUAUUAGAUCAAUAAAUAAAUACACUGGA
Daphnia pulex (common water flea) is the source of this 481-nucleotide long non-coding RNA. RefSeq lists it as uncharacterized. The transcript has 2 exons. Lineage: Eukaryota; Metazoa; Arthropoda; Branchiopoda; Diplostraca; Daphniidae. The record is from RefSeq and is a predicted model, not a curated record.